GUUGAUUCUCUUUGUUUUAUUAAAUGCAUUCAUAAUACAGGGCAUUAAAUCUAAAAUAAUUUAUAAUCCUUACAUAUCAAAUGAUCAAAUAAACGAUUUACUAAACCAAGUAACAGCAAAACACGAACAUGAAACCUCAGAAAAAAAAUUAGAAGAACUGGAUUGCGCAUAUUGGCUUUUGCAAAAUAUUGUGAAUAUUCGUAAAAAGAUAGCUGAAGGAAAAAAUCGUGGUGAUAUACCAGAUUAUGAAGAACCAGAGCUUCAGAGUCCAACUGAAUAUUUACCUAAUGAACUCGUUACUCUUACGCCAGUUCCACAGGAAGAAAAACCAGAACCUCAAACCGAAAAUGUACCAAUUGAAGUUGUAACUCCUUCUCCAAUAUCAGAGGAAGCAGAACCAGAACCGCAAACUGAAAAUGUACCUAUUGAAAUUGUAACUCCUACACCAACACCUCAGAGUCCAACUAA
Long non-coding RNA from Trichogramma pretiosum, 468 nucleotides. RefSeq lists it as uncharacterized. The transcript has 3 exons. The record is from RefSeq and is a predicted model, not a curated record. NCBI's taxonomy places the organism in Eukaryota, Metazoa, Arthropoda, Insecta, Hymenoptera, Trichogrammatidae.